Molecule: ribosomal RNA, 510 nt
Filed under: uncultured bacterium
Lineage: Bacteria
Description: partial 16S ribosomal RNA
Rfam family: Bacterial small subunit ribosomal RNA
Source: RNAcentral
GACGAACGCUGGCGGCGUGCUUAACACAUGCAAGUCGAACGAAGAGCGAUGGAAGCUUGCUUCUAUCAAUCUUAGUGGCGAACGGGUGAGUAACGCGUAAUCAACCUGCCCUUCAGAGGGGGACAACAGUUGGAAACGACUGCUAAUACCGCAUACGAUCUAACCUCGGCAUCGAGGAAAGAUGAAAGGUGGCCUCUAUGUAUAAGCUAUCACUGAAGGAGGGGAUUGCGUCUGAUUAGCUAGUUGGAGGGGUAACGGCCCACCAAGGCGAUGAUCAGUAGCCGGUCUGAGAGGAUGAACGGCCACAUUGGGACUGAGACACGGCCCAGACUCCUACGGGAGGCAGCAGUGGGGAAUCUUCCGCAAUGGACGAAAGUCUGACGGAGCAACGCCGCGUGAGUGAUGACGGCCUUCGGGUUGUAAAGCUCUGUUAAUCGGGACGAAAGGCCUUCUUGCGAAUAGUGAGAAGGAUUGACGGUACCGGAAGAGAAAGCCACGGCUAACUACGUG